ACCAGUACCUGGGGACAGAGGGACACACAGAAACACACAAAGAACGUGAGUCCGGCGACCGCAGCGCAGCGGCUCCGCCGCCCCGUCCCGUCCAGUCCCGUCCCGUCCCGUCACCGCCCGCCCGGCCCGGCCGGAGCGCCGGCUCCGCGCUCACCUGGGCGGAUUUCUUGCAGGGUCCGGACUGCAGGAACCGUGCGAUCAGAAAUGCCAAAUCCAGCUGUGGAUGGAACACCCAGGAAAAGGGGUGGCUCUGUGUCCCUGUGUGCUCUGGGCUCUGCCAGCAGAAGGACUGGGGGAAUGAUAUCAAUGUCAGGUCCAUCCUCAGCAUCUCUGAAUUCCAACUUUGUACCUCAAAGUGCCUGGAACCCCAUGUUUCACAGCAGCAAAAUUACUACUGGGUGUGCGUGAGCAGGUUUUUGCAUUUUUGGCUUCUGCUGGAAGCCUGGGCACAAAGCAUCUGACUGCAGCUGGGAAUUUAUCACGUCUCUCCCUGGACAUGCAAAUUUUACUGGAAUGCCCUCAGCUAAGAAACCAGAAGGAGUGGAUUAAAAGGAAUGAGGUUAUGUAGCAUGAAAGAAUACUCCAAAACAACUGUGGAGGAGGGAAGAGGAGUUUCUAACCCUGGAGAUGAAAGAAUAAAGGACCCUUGGCUGGAUGGUGACACUCAACCCAUGAAGAGACACCACUGUCAGUGACAGAACACAAGGGGCAAAGAGAGCCCUGGGAAAACACUGCUUCACUAUCAGCAAGGAAUCUGCUGGGACAAUCCCUCAGCAGCUGAUGGAGCAUGCAGCUGGACCUAGCAAAAGGCAGCUGAGGUAAGGAGCUGCCACAGCAAGGACCUGUGGGAAGAGGCUGCAGAUAAGAGGCAAGACCGAGUCUACUUUGCAAAUCCCUUGUUGAAUUGUUCUGAGCCAAAUAAUUGUUUUAAAGAAUUGUGUAGAACUCAAAACCAGAUUUCUGGCCCAGCACCAACCCGUGCUGAGCAGCAGAGGAACCCAGCAGUCCAGAGGGGAUGUGCAAAGUCAGCUCAGGGCUGGAGGGUGGUGAUGUCCCUGGGCUCCCCUGUUCCCCAGAUGUUGGGCAUUGCUGUGAGCCAGCCCUGAGAGGGACCAGGGCCAGCAGACAGCACCUGAACAAGGGCUCCAGCACAGGGCAGGAAGGAGCUGGAAGGAGAAGGCCAUUCCUGCAGGCUCUCCCUGGAAGCUGCCCUGGGCAGGUACCACAGCUGCUCUGUCCUCACAGUGUGGCAGUGACCCCCCCACCCUUGGAGCCCAGCAGAGCCCCUGCAGCUGUGCUUCCAGCACAUCUGGCUGUUCUCAGCUUCACUGGA
Long non-coding RNA from Pyrgilauda ruficollis (rufous-necked snowfinch), 1333 nucleotides. RefSeq lists it as uncharacterized. Lineage: Eukaryota; Metazoa; Chordata; Aves; Passeriformes; Passeridae. The record is from RefSeq and is a predicted model, not a curated record. The transcript has 5 exons.